CCGUUAUAACCGGCGAUACCCGAAUGGGGAAACCCAGUGUGACUCGUCACACUAUCAUUAACUGAAUCCAUAGGUUAAUGAGGCGAACCGGGGGAACUGAAACAUCUAAGUACCCCGAGGAAAAGAAAUCAACCGAGAUUCCCCCAGUAGCGGCGAGCGAACGGGGAGGAGCCCAGAGCCUGAAUCAGCAUGUGUGUUAGUGGAAGCGUCUGGAAAGGCGCGCGAUACAGGGUGACAGCCCCGUACACAAAAGCGCAUGUGCUGUGAGCUCGAUGAGUAGGGCGGGACACGUGGUAUCCUGUCUGAAUAUGGGGGGACCAUCCUCCAAGGCUAAAUACUCCUGACUGACCGAUAGUGAACCAGUACCGUGAGGGAAAGGCGAAAAGAACCCCGGCGAGGGGAGUGAAAAAGAACCUGAAACCGUGUACGUACAAGCAGUGGGAGCACAGGUUUACCUGUGUGACUGCGUACCUUUUGUAUAAUGGGUCAGCGACUUAUAUUCUGUAGCAAGGUUAACCGAAUAGGGGAGCCGGAGGGAAACCGAGUCUUAAUUGGGCGUUAAGUUGCAGGGUAUAGACCCGAAACCCGGUGAUCUAGCCAUGGGCAGGUUGAAGGUUGGGUAACACUAACUGGAGGACCGAACCGACUAAUGUUGAAAAAUUAGCGGAUGACCUGUGGCUGGGGGUGAAAGGCCAAUCAAACCGGGAGAUAGCUGGUUCUCCCCGAAAGCUAUUUAGGUAGCGCCUCGUGAAUUCAUCUCCGGGGGUAGAGCACUGUUUCGGCUAGGGGGCCAUCCCGGCUUACCAACCCGAUGCAAACUGCGAAUACCGGAGAAUGUUAUCACGGGAGACACACGGCGGGUGCUAACGUCCGUCGUGAAGAGGGAAACAACCCAGACCGCCAGCUAAGGUCCCAAAGUCAUGGUUAAGUGGGAAACGAUGUGGGAAGGCCCAGACAGCCAGGAUGUUGGCUUAGAAGCAGCCAUCAUUUAAAGAAAGCGUAAUAGCUCACUGGUCGAGUCGGCCUGCGCGGAAGAUGUAACGGGGCUAAACCAUGCACCGAAGCUGCGGCAGCGACACUGUGUGUUGUUGGGUAGGGGAGCGUUCUGUAAGCCUGUGAAGGUGU
This 1125-nucleotide ribosomal RNA is filed under the name Salmonella enterica subsp. enterica serovar Newport. RNAcentral describes it as "partial 23S ribosomal RNA". It matches the Rfam family "Bacterial large subunit ribosomal RNA", at positions 95 to 1259 of the family's 2925-position model. Lineage: Bacteria; Pseudomonadati; Pseudomonadota; Gammaproteobacteria; Enterobacterales; Enterobacteriaceae. The record is from RNAcentral.